CGCCUGUUUAACAAAAACAUCGCUCGAAGCUUGAUUUUUGAGUAACGCCUGCCCAGUGAAAUUUUUAACGGCCGCAGUAUACUGACUGUGCAAAGGUAGCAUAAUAAUUUGUCCUUUAAUUGAGGGCUGGUAUGAAUGGCAUCACGUAGUAAUAGCUAUCUCCUUAUAAAUAAUAAACUUAAUUUUUAAGUCAAAAAGCUUAAAUUUAUCCGCAGGACGAGAAGACCCCGUAGAGCUUUAUAUCAUAAAUUUAUUUAUUUGGUAGAUAAAGUUUUAAAUUACUAUAGAUAUUUUAUUGGGGUGAUAAGAAGUCGUAAACACUUUUUAAUAAAACAAUUAUAGUAGGAUUACUGAUCCGGCUCCCGAUUAGAAAAACAAGUUACCUCGGGGAUAACAGCGUAAUCUAUCCUUAGAGUUCUUAUCAAAAGAUAGGGUUGCGACCUCGAUGUUGGAUUAAGAUACCUUAAGUGAGUAGUAAUACUUUAAGGGGGUCUGUUCGACCUUUAAAUUCUUACAUGAUCUGAGUUCAAACCGGAGCUCC
This 541-nucleotide ribosomal RNA is filed under the name Callibaetis ferrugineus hageni. Its description in RNAcentral is "partial 16S ribosomal RNA". It matches the Rfam family "Bacterial large subunit ribosomal RNA", at positions 1797 to 2627 of the family's 2925-position model. The record is from RNAcentral. Lineage: Eukaryota; Metazoa; Arthropoda; Insecta; Ephemeroptera; Baetidae.